AGGAGAAUCAUCUCUUUCUACAGUGUCUUUUGUACAUCUUGAGGAUCUUUCUAUUUUUCUGAGUUUUAUUUUUCUUUUUUAUUGAUUUGUAUUUGGUUUAAUUAUUCCAAAAAAAAUAGUUUCAUUGGUACUUACAGCAAUAUGGUGCAAAACGUUGAGGAGAAAAGAUGAAAUUUAGGCUCAUCAUACGAAAUUGCUUUAUGUUGAUUUUUUGCCAUACCACUUUCCUGUUUACGUACAAUUUUUAGUAUCAUACAACUUGAAGGGCCUAGAUAAUGAGCUCUUUCUGAGUUGUACCAUGAACAAAUUAAUUUUCCUUGUUUAGGCGUAUGGGAUCCUAUGUGUCUUGGACUUGCAGGUUGUCAUUUUAGGUUAUAAUGGUGGCAUUAAAUAUCCAGUUACUCGGACAAAACAGGGAUAUUGAUCUUUGAUUUACUCAAUGGAUGUAAGAACGGUUGGCAAUUAUGAUAUGCAGCAACAUAUGACAGAUGUAUGAAUCAACUGUGAGGACUGGUUGUAUAGAAGUGCUCGUAUUCACUGUGCUCGUUUGAUCUACCUCUUACUGUUUAAGGCAUCCUUACUCGUGGCUUAUCAUGUUCUUUUUCCCCCCAAUGUUGGGUGCAUUUUAGGAGGGUGGAUACUCUCAUGAUAUCCCAACUACGUUGCACCGGAGUAAAGCUGAUUGUCCAGUGCCAGAGGAAAUGGUUACUGUUAGUGUUGAUGGAUCUGUGCUGGAUCGAAUUGCUAAAAUUAUGUCAUAUCUUCGCCUUGGAUCUUCUGGGAAAGUUCUCAAGAAGAAAAAGAAGGAGAAAGAUGCAAAAGGAAAAUUUUCAUCUGUUAGCAAUGAAUGUAAUGAAGAGGGUAAGCAUUCAAAGCGUAAAGGGGCGGUCUCAAACAAUGGAACUGAAAGAGAGAUUUUGCCACCAUCGCCACCACCUCCCAAAAAAAGUCAGCCUGAUUCUCGAGAGAAGCAGAGUCUAGCAGUUGCCAGAGAAGAAGAGAAUGACAUAUUUGUGGGAGAUGGUGUUGACUAUCAUGUUCCUGGAAAAGACAUGAGCCAAAGCCCUAUUUCAGAGGACAUGGAAGAGUCUCCUCGAAACAAGGAUAGAAUUUCUUAUUUCAGUGAAUCUGUUUAUGGUCCAGUCCCUCCUUCUGGACCUUCUCAGGAGUGGCAAGACCUGAAUGGAUAUGAUGCAAUGCAAGCACAAGCACAAGCACAAGCAUUGGCAAAUGGCUACCAAGGAGAGUGGCAGGAUUACCAAUAUGCUGAGCAAUUGGCAUACCCUGAACAGUAUCUCCAGCAAACA
RNAcentral lists this unclassified non-coding RNA (1307 nucleotides) under Hevea brasiliensis (rubber tree). The record is from RNAcentral. Lineage: Eukaryota; Viridiplantae; Streptophyta; Magnoliopsida; Malpighiales; Euphorbiaceae.